Molecule: unclassified non-coding RNA, 213 nt
Filed under: uncultured Agaricus
Lineage: Eukaryota; Fungi; Basidiomycota; Agaricomycetes; Agaricales; Agaricaceae
Description: sequence contains ITS2
Source: RNAcentral
AAUUCUCAACUCUCUUAUACUGUUUUGUAAAGGAGAGCUUGGAUUGUGGAGGCUUGCUGGCCACUUGUAUGGGGUCAGCUCCUCUGAAAUGCAUUAGCGGAACCGUUUGCGAUCUGCCACAAGUGUGAUAACUUAUCUACACUAGCGAGGGGAUUGCUCUCAGUAAUGUUCAGCUUCUAAUUGUCUCUGUUUUGUGAGACUAACUUUUUGAAU